GUGAGUCAUCGAAUCUUUGAACGCACCUUGCGCUCCCUGGUAUUCCGGGGAGCAUGCCUGUUUGAGUGUCAUGAAUCUCUCAACCUAUUAGAUUGCAAAAUCGAACUAGUGUUGGAUUUGGAGGCUUGCUGGCCUAGUCAGCUCCUCUUAAAUGCAUUAGCUAUGGAUCGCGCAGUUAUUAGAUCUACGGUGUGAUACAUGUCUUACCAAUGGAUCGAAAACUAUAAUCACCGCUUCGGCAGUGUAUACUUUACUGUAUACCGUGUGAUGAGUGAAUACAAAGCUUCUAAUCGUCUGUAAUGGACAACUACUUUGACAUCUGACCUCAAAUCAGGUAGGACUACCCGCUGAACUUAA
This 357-nucleotide ribosomal RNA is filed under the name uncultured fungus. RNAcentral describes it as "eukaryotic LSU rRNA". The stretch from base 1 to 71 matches the Rfam family "5.8S ribosomal RNA", at positions 84 to 154 of the family's 154-position model. The record is from RNAcentral. Lineage: Eukaryota; Fungi.